CCGGCUGAUGAGAAUAAGGCGAAUGUGACUUUGUGCUCUCUGACCCUUGGCUCCUGGGUGGGGGGCAGGUAGGUACAGAUGGGAUCUGAAAUCUUGGUGGGGAAACCUGAGUCCUGGCUCCCUGCUGUAAGGCCAGAUCAAGAGCGCUGCUGGCCUUGCCCUCAUGUCUGCUGCUGCCCCGAGUUCUUGGCAGUAGCCUACAGGGAGGCCCACAGGUAGGGGCCAAAGAUGGGAUGGGCACCAGCCAUGUGAGCACAACCUUGGAUCUGACA
This is a small nucleolar RNA of Marmota marmota marmota (Alpine marmot), 272 nucleotides long. Lineage: Eukaryota; Metazoa; Chordata; Mammalia; Rodentia; Sciuridae. The record is from Ensembl.